Molecule: long non-coding RNA, 7890 nt
Organism: Culex pipiens pallens (northern house mosquito)
Lineage: Eukaryota; Metazoa; Arthropoda; Insecta; Diptera; Culicidae
Exons: 2
Source: RefSeq, a predicted model, not a curated record
UCUGAGGGCAGAUUCAGAUUCAGCAAGCAAAAUUACAUAAAAAACAUAUAAUUGGACAAUUUUUGAAAUUCGUUAGGGUGGUCCCAUAAGGUUUUCCCUUGAAAAUUAGCCUUUUUCAAAUGAAGAUAUCUCGAGUUUAAAGAAAAACACCCCUGAGAUUAUUUCAUCGUUAAUAGUGCUGGAUCUCCUCUUUCAAAUGCAACCUAGUGCUUAAAAUUUGGCUUGCGCCUUUUCGAGAUAUUUAAGUUUUAAAUUUGCAUCUUUUUUACCUUAAAAUGGCUGUAACUUUUGAACCUUAAGUCCAAAUUGACAUGUCAAAAAAUGAAAUUGUUUGUUUUUUAGAGUUCUAAGUGCCCCCAACAUCACUUUUCUCUAAAACUUAACCCUGAAUUGUCACAUUCAAAAAACUGAUUUUUGAAGGUUUGCUUAGAUGCUUUCUAUUAAUUUGGUCGUAGAAGGCGUAGAUUACGAGAUAAAAUUUCGGUGUCUUCGACAAAGUUGCUUGGUUUGGCAAGCCCAACAACUUUCUAGAAGACAAAAAAAAUCCCAAAAAUAUUCCUGAAAAGUUAGAUUUUCAAAAUCACCCUAAUAGUGAACCACCCUAAUUUUCAACAAAACCAAAAGUUGCCCCUUUCCAUUUGCAACAACUCUUCUGAAGACACCAAAGCUCCAAAACUUCACCAUUUUUUGGAAAAUCCGUUUUCCACUUAAUUUUACGAUCUGGACCACUGUGCAUUGGCGGCACCGAUGAGUAUGACAAUAUUGGUGUUAAAUUUCGCAAUUUUCAAUGCAAAUUACAUAUGUAAAUUACGAAAAUUUACAUUUUUUUGGACUGGCCACAACUCAAAUUGGUGCAGGUUCCCGCAAUGGCCGCAACCUGCACAAAAUAAAUAAAUAACACAUAUUGAAGUUGAAAAAAAAACAAUCUCAAAAGAUUUUUUCUACAGUCAUCCACAAUCUACAAAUUAAAUUAAUUCAAAAAAUAAAUUCCUUCUAUGUCCCUUCAACGGAACAUCGCCAAAGGGAACCCGGAACCAUCCAGGGUUGUGGCCAGUCCACUAAAAAUUUCCAUUUUCGUAAUUUUCAUAUGUGAUUUUGAAAAUCGCGAAAUUUAACACCAAUAUUGCCCAUACUCAUCGAUGCCGCCAAUGUCCCUUCAACGGAACAUCCCCCGAGGAACCCGGACAAAUUUGGAAUGUGGCCAGUCCGUUUAAAAUGUCAGUUUUCGUAAUUUUCACAUGUGAAUUUGAAAAUUGUGAAGUUUGACACCAAUAUUGCCCAUAUUCAUACGGUGCGGCCAAUGUCCUUCCAACGGAUCAUCCCUCGGGGAUCCCGGAACCAUCCGGGUUGUGGUCAGUUCGUUGAAAAUAUCCAUUUUCGUAAUUUUGAUAUGUAAUUUUGAAAAUCGGGAAAUUGAACACCAAUAUUGCCCAUAUUCAUACGGUGCCGCUAAUGUCCGCUCAACGGAGCAUCCCCAGGGGAACACGGACCAGUACGGGUUGUGGCCAGUCCUAUGAAAAUGUCCAUCGUCUAUGUUCAAUUUCGUGGAACCAUAAAAAGUCCAUUUAGAAAAAAAUCUUGAUUCUCCUUUCACUUCAAGCAGAUGUCAAAUAUUUGUGCGCGCUACUAGCGGGCGACUAAAUUUGGUCACCCGCUGUUCACCGAGGGUCGACCUGCUAUUUUAUGAGCGCGUUUAUGAGCGACCGGUGUGGGGAAGAGUGAUGGUGGAGCGCUUCCAAAUCCUUACUGCGCGCGCCCGGUGGAGAUGGUCUAAGAUGUCAAAAACAAAAACAAUGACUUUUAUAUCCCGCCGUCUGACAUGCAUGAUUUUUAAAACCCGCCAAACAAAUCGCAGCAAACUGGGUUGAACAGAUGAAAUUUUCCUUGUCAAAUAAAAUUAUUUGUUGUGGGCUAGUCACGAAUCUCUGCCGGAUGUUUAAAAUAAUAAAUUCGAUCCGCCUGAGCCUAGAUUUGAGUGAAGGAAGCUUUACUCCGCUAAGAAGUGCCUUUCAACAUGAUUGAUGUUCUGUUCGAAAUUGCACUAGGACCAUAAUCCAUCCGGAAUUUCAAAAAAUAUUCCUGAACUGCCGCUCAAGCUUAGCCAACCGUAGAUGAAACUGACUAUGGCAAGCCAAACGAUUCUCCAUCCAAAAGACUUGUUCGUACGAAUUUUGGUGGUUUAAUAUCAGGACUAAGUCGAUGAGCGCGUCAAAAAACCGUCCUCAGAUAUUUUAAGAAGUGAACAAAAACGAAUAACUCAUAAAUAAAGACAUAGUAAAAAAAAAAGUUUUAUUAUUAAAACACAACUUAUCACGUUUAUCACUAGGUAGAGCACAACAUUACAAAUAAACACCCAAAACAAUUCCUUCAGCAGAAUGGCACACUGGAAACGUAAACUUCUUGACUGCCAUUGUAAAGCCCCACUGGUAAUCCAGAACCAAUAUCUCUCCUAAUUAGCACUCUAGCAGGAGAAACCAAGACUGAUUCAUGUUCGAGUUCGAACUUAACUACUCCAGCCGUGGCACUAGUCCUCGGACGUCGAAAUGAAAUCCAUCACAAUCCGAGCGGCACAAUUCACGUGGAUAUUCCAGGAGAACAAGGAGAACCAAGCGCUCAAGGUCGAGCGAGGUAAGGAGCAUUUUUCAGGGCCGGAAUGGGAUCCGGAAGGCGUUCGCCCCGUGGUCUGGUUGAUUUGUGGCAGUCAUGCUUUUGAACGGGUUCUCCGUUCGUGCAAGUUCACAAAGCAACACGAAAAAAACAGCUCUGAGAACGAACGCUCGUCUCUAAGAAACGUUCGUUCAGUAGGCCUUUUUGAAACGAACCGAGAACCCAGUUCAGAACUUCAACAUUUUCCUUUGAUAAGACUUCAGUAGACUAGCUAAACUUCAUUGACUUUUAAUCAUCCGUUCACAUGUCAGUACUGCUAGCUUAGUGGUAACAAUUAGGUUUAGUAAUCAGAGGUAGUGAGUUCGAAUCUCUUUUUUCCUGAACUUGAAAAGCAUGGAUUUUUUUAAAUCACGGUGGCAAUAAGUUUUCGUCUCCUUUUUAGUUGGGGUGCUUUUUGCUUUUUAACUGUUUCAUUUAGUCUCCCUAGCCUCCCAGCUGGAGUGUCCCUUGAUUUGUAUAACAUGUAAUUUCAGUCGUCGUCAAAAAGUUGGUACCCAACCACACAAAAAAAAUAUUUCAAAUACAUGAGAUUCGAACUCACUUCCUUUGAAUACUGUACUUGCAUGUUACCACCGAGCUAACUAAGCUCUAUAUAAAUCAUUCUACUGAAUGUUUAUUUAAGUUAAACAGUUGCCAUAGAGAGCAUCUGGCUACAGGCGGUUCACAGAACGCGUUCCAAACUUUGAAGAGAACGGCACGAAAAAGUGAAGUUCUGUUUUUGGAACGAAAAGCAAUGGCUCCUGCGCUGUGGGUUCAGUUCAUUUUGAAGAAAGAGAACGAACGCAGAACGGGUUCCGUUCAAAUUGCAUGACUGAUUUGUGCUCGGUGAAGGCAUGAGCUUCCAAUGGUUUGGGGCGAAAUCAUUUUUUAAAGCUGUAUAGAACGUGGUUAAAUUAAUAAAAAAAACUAAAUAAUAUUAAAACAAUAAAAAAUCUAAAAUAUGUACUACUAACCAAUCGUUUCCACGCCCGUCAAAAAUUUUCACCCAAUUAAAAAAUAGGUUGACAACACCCAGUUUGUUCCGAUUUGUUUGGCGGGUUUUAAAAAUCAUGCAUGUCAGACGGCGGAAUAUAAAAUUCAUUGUUUUUGUUUUUGACAUAAGUUUACAUAAAGAAUAUUGCACACAAUAGUUUUCGCACCUCAACUUUGGAAGACAGCAAAUUUUACAACUGUCAAAAGUUGUUGUUGUGAAUGUUAGAGGAAGUUGCUGUGUCGUCGGGUCUGAGAGUUUGGGCCGCUCGGGCAAACAAUAAUCGUGGCAGAUUUCGCGGUCAUCGUCGUGUGCGUGUGUGUUCGUGUGUUUUGGUACUUCUCCUGAUUCAGUUGGAGGAAGUUGCCGAUCGCCGCGCCCUGGAGUUCGGGCUGUCCGGGGCAACCGGUAUAUGUUGCAGAAUUCGGUCCGAUUGGAAGAAGUUUCCAGUCGCCGCAUCCGGAUGCCUGAGCCGCAUUCGUAGCCGAUUCCGUCGCCGUCGUCAUCGUUUGAAGUGUAUGCGUGUGUGCGCGUGUUUGAUGCUUCAUCUGGUCCGGCCGGAGGAAGUUGCCGGUCGUCGCUUCCGGAAGUUAGGCGGCUCGGGCGACCAAUAGUUAUUCGCGGCAGAUUACGUCGUCACCUGAAGUGUGUGUUUGUGUUUUGAUGAUUCUUCCAGACCAGUGAGAGGAAGUUGCCGGUCGUCGCGUCCGGAUGUUUGGGCCGCUCCGGCGUUCAACAUUCGUGGCAGAUUCCUUCGCCGUCGUCUGCGUUAGAAGUGGGUACGUGUGUGUGUGCGUGUUUUGGUGCUUCUUUUGGACCACUUGGAGCAAGUUGCCAGUCGUCGCGUCCGGGAGUUUGGGGGGCUCGGGCGUUCAACAUUCGUGGCAGAUUCCGUCGAUUGGCAUCACAACGGGUGACAACUCGAUGAUCAUUCUGUCCACUAAAAACCGAGGACAACGAGGACUUAGAUAAGUUUUUUUUUUUCUUAUGAGUUAUGAACAUGACACUUUGUUAAAAUUUUUGUAAUUUUUCAGGUGAAUAUAUCAAGUGUGAUGAUAUCUCAUGGAACUUGACUGCUGCUUGCAUAAUUUUGUUUGGGUAAGUAAUUUUCUAUACUUAGUUUUUGUUUUUUUAUUUCUUUUUAGUCACUUAACUGUUAUCUGGGCGAAUCGGGACAACACAAUUCCACCCAAUUUGCAAAUUUUAGCCAAAAUUGUAUGGAGACUUGUAUAGGUGAACCAAUGACACAAAAUAGCUUAUUUGGUCAUAGAGAAGGCCCCCACAAAGUUUGAGCCAAAUCAAAAAACACAAAUAAAAUCCAUUUCCGGUUUUGGUAGAGAAUUGCUCAAUAAGAAACUUUUUUUUAUGUAACAGCAAAAAAUCAAUCUUUACAAAAACAAGAUAUCAUAGCAAACAUUUAUGUGGAAAGAAGGUUGGCACUUCCUCUAACAUCAUUUUCUUACAAUUAAUUCAUUGUUAAACCUUGAAUUAAAAGUCAAAGUAGUUAUGUCACAGACAUAACCGGAAUGCCGUAGGCCUACGCAAAGUUUGAUAUGUGGAUAUAGGGUUUUCCAUAUCUUAAUUUUGAAGAAUUAGCUAGAUACUUUAGAUAGAUUUACGGAAUAAGAUCAUGGAUGGGACAUGUACCCCCCGACACGACAAUACUUACACACCCUUAGGCCAGUAAACUCAAUCAGAAACGGAGUUCAAUUCGAAUCGUUUACGAUUUCCGUUUCAAAUGCCUCCAACCGGUUUCGUGUACGAAACGACGGUCGAGCUUGAACUCUUUGCGAAACAUGUUGGCUGAAUUAUCGGGCGGUCAUUCAAAAAAAAACAGCUAGAAGUCGCAUGACAAAAAACUUUUGCUAAAAAGAGAUAGCUAAUCUGAUGCAAAAUAAAAUCCACAGCUGCAGCUACUUUGAAAAUGUUGGUAAAUUUAUGACUAGAAUGUCAUUUCAAACACCAACACCAAAGAGAGGAAGGAAAGAAAGGAACGAACUACGAUUUUUUUUGCGAACCGAAUGUUUGGUAGUAGAAUAGAGGGGAGGGAGUGGGGUUGGGAUCGCGAGCAGCUUCAGAAAGCUGUGCAGUUCGUCGCCCCCAAAGACCAACAUUUGUUUUUGAAAGGCAUUUCGACGGGUGAAACGAGGGACGGAGAGUGAGGGCAAUUCCGAGGAGUCCUCACCCCCUUCCUAUUUGUUUGAAAAUCACGGCUCUGUCUACGAGCGGCAACUUGUUCGGCGAGAAGGCAGCAGGCGCGCGCUUUUCUGUUGUUGGAGACUCGUCCCGGGUGAGACGGGGGACGGGGAGUGAGGGCAACUCUGAAGAGUUGGGCAGUCCUCAGAAGAUCCAAACGGUUCGGUCAUCGAAAGGCAACUGGCUGACGAGAAGGCGAUUUUUUUUUACUGUGAACAAACACGGACCACUGCGACACUUGCGUAUCUAUUGUAGUAUGAUCUGUUCGCAGGUUUUCUGUUUUGCUGCUGUUUACAGCCUGCCGAACGAUCGUCUUCCGUAGCGCUAUUGUUUGAGCGAGACAGUAUUGACGAAUUAUUCGAGCAGUUGCCCUCUCUCAUUCCUCAGACCAAUCACCCCCAAUGCCAUGCAACACGAGCACGAGAGACCGAUUCGAGGACGUGGAGAUGAGCGAGAUUGAGGGGAAAUCUCGUUUAUUGUUGACCCAUCUAGAGAUCGUUACCGAUCAUAUAGACCAAUCUUCAGCUCGAAUUUUGCCUGAGAGCAUGUGACCGAGUCGAAAGUAGCAUUUGAAGCUCUUCUUUGUGUACUUCUACAGAGUUCUUCAACGCUCAGACUCAGUCGCCAACAGAUCGUCCGAGAGAUUGGAUGGGAUGGGAUGGGAAUCGAGCAUUCGUUGGAGAAGGUUGUCUUAUUCAACAUGACUCGUCGCGUCCCGGCGCAAAACGCUGGCAAUAUCGCCCUACCUGCGGCUCAAGCAGGCAAAAAAGUGAGGAUUUCCAAAAGGAAGGUUGAGGCCUCAACUGAUGGCCAAAAACCCGGGAUUUCCAAAACAAAUGUGCUUUUGGAAGUGCCAUCGAACAGCAAAAAGACGAAAAAGAGCGACGGUACUGUACCGAUGGAUGAGGAGGAGGAAAACUCUUCGUCGCACGAGGAGCAGCUUUUGAAGAACAACAAGUUCGCUGGACUGUCUGACGAGGACCAGGUAGCGGAAGCAAAGGAGAAUGAAGUGAAACAGCGAAAGGAGAAAUUGCCUCCUUUUUAUGUGCGGCAAUCAGCAGGAACGAUCGACUUUCGAGCGGGGCUAGUUGAACUCAUCAAGUCUGGGAAAGUCCAAGGCAACAUUCGCCUGUGCCAGGAUGGAUUUAAGGUGCUGGUGCAAACCAGGCAGCACUAUCACCUGGUCAAGGAUUACUUGACCGAAAACGAGGCGGAGUACUUUACCCAUGAUGUCGUCAUGGAUAAGCCGUACAAAAUCGUCGUCACUUCCUGAGCUGAAGGCAAUCCUGAGCUGAAGGCAAUCCGAGCGGUUUUCAACAUUAUUGUGUCGUGGGAGCGAUACCGACCAGUGCAUCGUGACGUCACACAAUGCUUCAACUGUCUGGGCUUCGGGCACGGAGGUAAGAAAUGCCACCUAAAGCGUCGUUGCGCUAAAUGUGGUACCGAUGCGCACAUCACAUCCCAGUGCAUCCAAGAUUCGCUGGUGAAGUGCCUUAACUGCAACGGUGAACAUUCGUCAACCGAUCGAAAGUGCCCCAAGAGAGCUGAGUUCGUUAAAAUUCGGCAGCAAGCAUCGACGAAGAAUCAGUCUCAACAUCGCAGAAAUUCUCCAGCCCUAGUGGAGCAAAAUUUUCCACCUCUUCAACCGCGACGGCAGGUCCCGAACCUGGCACCGUAUCCGUUGCAUCCAAAGAAGAGAGCAGAGAUAAAUCAUCCGCCGCCGGGCUUCAGCCAGGAACCGAGACCAUAGCCACCGGGCUUCAGCCAGGAGCCAAGACCAACCCAAGAACCAGCAGUUGAGGAAAAUGGUAAUGAUCUUUACACCUCAACUGAACUCCUCAAUAUUUUCAAACAGAUGUCCGCUGCACUGCGUGGAUGCAAAACCAAGACCCAGCAGAUUGAAGUGCUGACCUCGUUCGUCAUUCAGUAUGGAUCGUAAGUCCCUCAAGCUGCUGAAUUGGAACGCUUGCUCCAUUAGGAGGAAGAAUUUAGAGCUGGUGGAUUUUCUUCGCGAGAAGGAGAUGGACGUAGCUGCCAUCACGGAAACUCAUCUGAAG